AUGUGACUUAGUUAGGGGGCAAAAAUUAAUAUAGAAAUCUAAUGUUUAUUAGAUUUUAUUCAUAGAUAGGUAUAUUGAAGGAGCAAUCUUUUUCUCUCAUAUCAGUUGUUCUUCAAGCAGCCUCUCACAUUU
This is a small nucleolar RNA of Trifolium pratense (red clover), 132 nucleotides long. RefSeq annotates it as small nucleolar RNA U19. The record is from RefSeq and is a predicted model, not a curated record. The transcript has a single exon. NCBI's taxonomy places the organism in Eukaryota, Viridiplantae, Streptophyta, Magnoliopsida, Fabales, Fabaceae.